AUACGGAGGGUGCAAGCGUUAAUCGGAAUUACUGGGCGUAAAGCGUACGUAGGCGGUUAGUUAAGUUAGAUGUGAAAGCCCCGGGCUUAACCUGGGAACUGCAUUUAAAACUGGCUAACUAGAGUUAAGUAGAGGGGAGUGGAAUUUCAGGUGUAGCGGUGAAAUGCGUAGAGAUCUGAAGGAACACCAGUGGCGAAGGCGACUCCCUGGACUCAAACUGACGCUGAGGUACGAAAGCGUGGGUAGCAAACGGGAUUAGAAACCCUAGUAGUCC
RNAcentral lists this ribosomal RNA (274 nucleotides) under uncultured bacterium. RNAcentral's name for it is "partial 16S ribosomal RNA". It matches the Rfam family "Bacterial small subunit ribosomal RNA", at positions 523 to 796 of the family's 1533-position model. The record is from RNAcentral.